Long non-coding RNA from Rosa chinensis, 1639 nucleotides. RefSeq lists it as uncharacterized. The record is from RefSeq and is a predicted model, not a curated record. The transcript has 6 exons. NCBI's taxonomy places the organism in Eukaryota, Viridiplantae, Streptophyta, Magnoliopsida, Rosales, Rosaceae.
CCACCCAGACAAUAACAGGAGGCAAACUAAAAAUUUAAAAUUAGGCAUUCAGACAACGUAAAUAUGAAAAACCAUUGUCUGAGGGGCCUUGUCCAUAAAUCAAAUGAGGGAGCUGAAUGCUGUCCAAAUGAGCCCAAUAUAAUUAAAGCGGUGAAAAAAAAAAACACUUAAGACAAAAAAUAACCCUAGAAGAAAGAGGCAACCAAUGCAUAUACCCCAUUUGCAAAACUCAUUAGCCCGCUGUUGUGUCGACUCUCUCUGCAAGAAACCCUUUCUCGACAAACCCAACCGGACCAUCACUCUUCGACCAAACUUGAAGAUCGCUUCCCUUCCCAUCCCAUCACUUUUAGGGUUCUUCCAUUCCCAUCUCUUCCCAAUUCCAUCCCAAAACGAACUCGGGCCUCACGUUACGAGGGUCGUGAAGAAGAGCGGGAUGGCGGUGGUGGCGGAUAUGUUACGCGAAGAGGGUGGUGAGAGAGCGAGUUGGCGUAUCAAAGAGCGACGGCGGAAGAGGGGGAUGAGAUUGGGGGUGGGUUAGGGUUUUGGUGCAGAGGCGUCGUUGGAGAGAGAGACGGAGCUUGGGGAUGGGAUUAGGAGUGGGAUCGAGCUUGAGGAAGGAACAUGGAGCAAAGAAGUAUUUGAAUUUGGGGGUGGGGGCCUCAAUUAUCUCCUUCAUCUCUCUCUCAAAUUUCGGUUUCCCCUAAUCUGUUUGAUUUCAAAAUCCGAUCUUUAGGGGUUGGUGUUCUUGAAUUUGCCUUUUGAUUGGUUUGUUUGCGUUUUAGGCGGAGGAGGAAGAUUUGAUGAUAAAGGAGCCCAGCCAUAAGAGAAUGCAUAUGACUAAGGAUAAGGCAGAGAAUUAGAAAAGCAAAGAAGAAGAUAAAGCAAGCUGCUCUUCAUCUUUUUCACAGCUGGAGAUGGAGUAUUGUGGUGGAGAUGUUCUCAGCUUCGCCCCCGAUAUCUGAGAAGCAGGAGUAUGGGAAGAUGGAGAUUGUGGUGGAGCGGAAUUCGGGAAUUUUCGGGUCCAAGAGAGGUUGGGGAUUAUGGUGGAGUGGAAUUCAAGGAUGUAAGCCACGUUCCCAAAGGUUAUGUCAAGAAGUUCAGAAUGCCAACUUCCCAGAAUUUAGUCCCAAUUCGGGUCGAUUUCGAAGUCAAAGGCCAGAGGUUCAAAGACGCCUUCACUUGGAACCCAUCUGGUGGAGAGAUUUGCAAAGUUUGCUAAAUUAACUGUUAGAGACUUGAAGCUGUCUUCGAAUUACGAGAGAGCCAUUGUUAAUUCCAUUCAGGUUUUGGUCAACAGGGAAGAGGAUCAAGGUUUCCAGAUAUCAAAGAGGAUGAGUCAGAGGAUGAUGACAUUGAUGGAUAGUAAGUCAGAUUCACGGGGACCAAAGAGGUGAAGUAUGGAACUAAGGCAAAUAGACUGUAGUCCCAAGGGUGCUUGCAAAUGGAACACUAAGCUUCUUUGGAAGAUCUGGUCAGUAAUCAAGGUGUUUAGAGAUGUGCUUGCAAUGCUCUAGUUUCUGUGAUUUAUUAGAGCCGGGGUGGGGAGGUUCUAGAACUCGGAAAAGGGAGCUUUGUACAUUAAGUAAUAAGUAGCUGAUGGAAUUUCAUUAAGUAGCUUUGAACAACUCAGAAAGACCAA